CAUUAUCAGACACAUGUAAAAAAUUCUGAUCAACAAUACUAGCAUGGCUAAAAGUAACAUUACAAAUAUAUGAAUAUACAGGACAGUUUAACAAAACAUGUUUUUCAUCUUCAACAACAUCUAAAAAAAAAAUAUGGAAAGCUUCAUGAAUUUGUGUGUCAUCCUUACCUAAGUUGAGAUACAAUUCACUGACUAAUUAAUCAUAAUGGUUAGUCCUGACCUGUUAAAACACACAAAUGUAUUUGAAAUAUUUAUUAAAUCAAAAAAAAAU
Molecule: long non-coding RNA, 271 nt
Filed under: Mytilus galloprovincialis (Mediterranean mussel)
Lineage: Eukaryota; Metazoa; Mollusca; Bivalvia; Mytilida; Mytilidae
Source: RNAcentral